UAUAUAUAUAAUUUAGACAAUUUAAACUAUAGCGCCUUGUUUUAAAAAGGUCUCGCCUCUCGCCUCUUGCCUUGAUAACAUUGGUUUCCUCAUAGUUUUCAAUCUUAGGAAUCCUCUCAGCUUUAUAUGGUAGUCUUACCUGCUUUUUUAUCAUUUUUAUUUUCUUUACUUCUUCCCUUUUCAGUGAUAAAGGGUAGAGGUGUUUUUUUUAUCAGAAAUAAG
This 222-nucleotide unclassified non-coding RNA is filed under the name Hevea brasiliensis (rubber tree). The record is from RNAcentral. Lineage: Eukaryota; Viridiplantae; Streptophyta; Magnoliopsida; Malpighiales; Euphorbiaceae.